AGAGGAAGUAAAAGUCGUAACAAGGUUUCCGUAGGUGNACCUGCGGAAGGAUCAUUAUUGAAUAAACCUGAUGUGGUUGUAGCUGGCUUUUCGAAGCAUGUGCUCGCCCGUCAUCUUUAUCUAUCCACCUGUGCACCUUUUGUAGUCUUGGAUACCUCUCGAGGAAACUCGGAUUUGGGAUCGCCGUGCUGUACAAGUCGGCUUUCCUUACAUUUCCAUGACUAUGUUUUUAUAUAUAUACACCAAAGAAUGUUUAAAGAAUGUCAUCAAUGGGAACUUGUUUCCUAUAAAAACUAUACAACUUUCAGCAACGGAUCUCUUGGCUCUCGCAUCGAUGAAGAACGCAGCGAAAUGCGAUAAGUAAUGUGAAUUGCAGAAUUCAGUGAAUCAUCGAAUCUUUGAACGCACCUUGCGCUCCUUGGUAUUCCGAGGAGCAUGCCUGUUUGAGUGUCAUUAAAUUCUCAACCUUCCAACUUUUAUUAGCUUGGUUAGGCUUGGAUGUGGGGGUUGCGGGCUUCACUACGAGGUCAGCUCUCCUUAAAUGCAUUAGCGGAACUUUUGCGGACCGUCUAUUGGUGUGAUAACUAUCUACGCCGUGGAUGUGAAGCAGCAGCUUUAUGAGGUUCAGCUUCUAACCGUCCAUUUGACUUGGACAAAUUUUUGACAAUUUGACCUCAAAUCAGGUAGGACUACCCGCUG
This 699-nucleotide ribosomal RNA is filed under the name Hydnangium kanuka. Its description in RNAcentral is "eukaryotic LSU rRNA". The stretch from base 300 to 453 matches the Rfam family "5.8S ribosomal RNA". Lineage: Eukaryota; Fungi; Basidiomycota; Agaricomycetes; Agaricales; Hydnangiaceae. The record is from RNAcentral.